AAUCAACGCUGGCGGCGUGCCUAACACAUGCAAGUCGAACGAGAAGGUGACUUCGGUCACUGGAUAGUGGCGUCCGGGUGAGUAACACGUAGGUAAUCUACCUUCGGGUGGGGAAUAACGUCUCGAAAGAGACGCUAAUACCGCAUAAUGCAGCGGCACCUAAUGGUGAUUAGUUGUUAAAGCGGGGGAUCUUCGGACCUCGCGCCUGAAGAGGAGCCUGCGGCAGAUUAGCUAGUUGGUGAGGUAAUGGCUCACCAAGGCUUCGAUCUGUAGCUGGUCUGAGAGGACGGCCAGCCACACUGGCACUGACACACGGGCCAGACUCCUACGGGAGGCAGCAGUGGGGAAUUUUGGGCAAUGGGCGAAAGCCUGACCCAGCAACGCCGCGUGAAGGAGGAAAUCCCUUCGGGAUGUAAACUUCAUAAAGUAAGGGAAGAAAGCUGCGGAUCGAAUAAGUCCGCAGUCCGACGGUACCUUACGUAAGCCACGG
RNAcentral lists this ribosomal RNA (490 nucleotides) under uncultured bacterium. Its description in RNAcentral is "bacterial SSU rRNA". It matches the Rfam family "Bacterial small subunit ribosomal RNA", at positions 32 to 496 of the family's 1533-position model. The record is from RNAcentral.